AGAGUUUGAUCGUGGCUCAGGACGAACGCUGGCGGCGUGCCUAAUACAUGCAAGUCGAGCGGACAGAAGGGAGCUUGCUCCCGGAUGUUAGCGGCGGACGGGUGAGUAACACGUGGGUAACCUGCCUGUAAGACUGGGAUAACUCCGGGAAACCGGAGCUAAUACCGGAUAGUUCCUUGAACCGCAUGGUUCAAGGAUGAAAGACGGUUUCGGCUGUCACUUACAGAUGGACCCGCGGCGCAUUAGCUAGUUGGUGAGGUAACGGCUCACCAAGGCGACGAUGCGUAGCCGACCUGAGAGGGUGAUCGGCCACACUGGGACUGAGACACGGCCCAGACUCCUACGGGAGGCAGCAGUAGGGAAUCUUCCGCAAUGGACGAAAGUCUGACGGAGCAACGCCGCGUGAGUGAUGAAGGUUUUCGGAUCGUAAAGCUCUGUUGUUAGGGAAGAACAAGUGCAAGAGUAACUGCUUGCACCUUGACGGUACCUAACCAGAAAGCCACGGCUAACUACGUGCCAGCAGCCGCGGUAAUACGUAGGUGGCAAGCGUUGUCCGGAAUUAUUGGGCGUAAAGGGCUCGCAGGCGGUUUCUUAAGUCUGAUGUGAAAGCCCCCGGCUCAACCGGGGAGGGUCAUUGGAAACUGGGAAACUUGAGUGCAGAAGAGGAGAGUGGAAUUCCACGUGUAGCGGUGAAAUGCGUAGAGAUGUGGAGGAACACCAGUGGCGAAGGCGACUCUCUGGUCUGUAACUGACGCUNAAGAGCGAAAGCGUGGGGGAAGCGAACAGGAUUUANAUACCCCUGGUAAGUCCCCC
RNAcentral lists this ribosomal RNA (813 nucleotides) under Bacillus stratosphericus. Its description in RNAcentral is "bacterial SSU rRNA". It matches the Rfam family "Bacterial small subunit ribosomal RNA", at positions 8 to 799 of the family's 1533-position model. Lineage: Bacteria; Bacillati; Bacillota; Bacilli; Caryophanales; Bacillaceae. The record is from RNAcentral.